GUCAUUACUAGGUAAGGAAUACUACCCCCUACUUCGAAAAAGAGGGUAGUAUUCCUAACCUAUUGUUGACUUCACAGUUCAGCUAGCAACUGAAGAUAAUACCUUUAUCUACACUCUCAAUGCAAUCGACUGUAAAGUAAAUCAUAUUUCAUAAAAUUUGUGUUUAAAUCACUUUUUGGUUUUUAAUGUAAAUAUAUAUACCGGUGAUGUUCUCACUUUUAGUUUUUGGCUUGCUUCUAUUUACAUAUUUUCCUGUAGAUAGUUUUCUAACACGAAUAUAUCCUAACUAAUUCAUAGUUACAUGAUGACUCAAAACAAAGAAUACUUAAACUGAGAACAACCAUCAAAGAACCUUAUUGUUUAAGUGUCAAAGAUGUAUAUACUUUUCUGUAUCAGAUAUUUUGUACUUCCAGGUGACAUUUACAUAUAAUCAACUUUUCUACUACAAUAAACCAUUCUUUCAGUGGGAACUAACAUUAUCAAUGUAAUAAUGAGUAAAAAAUACAAAAAUAUGGAGCUGUUAGAUCAUACCUUAGUCUAUAGUCAACUGAUAGUAUCCUAUGACUGAUUAUUAGUAUGUGACCAUUCUUAAGGUUUUCAAAGUAACAACCAUGUUUCACUAGUGGAAUCAGUUCAUGAUACUUGUAUAAUUAUCUGAUUAAAUUGAGACUUGUAUCAUUUCACUUUAAUCUAAUCAUGCACAGCAUGGUCUGAAUUAACUCGAAUAAUUCAAGCCCUUUCCGUGUCCGAUUUUCUCCCACACGAGGGCUUGAACUCCUUGUGAUCAUUGGCCGCGUCGCCUGCUCUCUGUGAGAGAGAGCCAAUCAGCGGCGAUCAGGAUAAUGAGUCUGCGCAACUCUCUUGUAAUUGUCUUACCAAACACGUGUGUUCAAUUAACACAAAUCCGAUAAUAAUUAAUUAACAUCAGUUAACAUCAGUUUACAUCAUUUAACAUCAAUUAACAUCCGGAACUCCUCCUUCUUUAGCUGCCAAUUUAAAUCAAAAUUCCCAUAUUGCAAAGCGGUGUGAAAAUUCCGGUUGACGAUCUUGAUCGAGGAAGACGUUCAGGCGUUAAUGUAGCCUUCGUAGAUCAGCGGAAUAUAACGACUGAAUUAUUCGGGUUAGGUCUGAAUUAGCCAUGACUUGAGAUUUUCUUUUAGUUAUUUUUUCAAGGCAAGAAGACAGGGCAUAUUGCAAUAUUUUGAAAUUGAUAUCUUUUUAUUAAUUACAUUCUUUGGUAAUUUGUAAACUUCACAUUAGUGGAAAUAGAUGUAAAUUGUAAAUUAUCUUAGAACAAACCGUUUAUACUACAGGAUACUGUUAACCAUACAAAGGUUUCCUUUUAGCUAACAUGCAAUAAAAUAUCACUAACAAUACAGCUGGGAAAAUCCAAUAUUAAAUUAAAUGACCAACGAUGGCUGGAAAUUUUUACACUCUUGACAACCAGAGCAACCAAAAUUGUUACUAUUUGACAGCAGCCAUUCAAUGUCACAUUAGUGUAUCAAAAUUAGCUAAAUAAAAAUACCUUGAUCAAUUUCUGUCUUACCACAACCAGAUCUCCGCAAAAGCUUUUCUUUUAAUUCAAUAAUCUGGCAGGCUAUAGUACAUCUGGCAAAGAAAAGAAAAUGGGUAAAAGUAAUAAGAGAAAAACGGUUUUCUAUGAAGAAAACAAUUAUAAGAAUACACAAUAUCUAAUAUUUUAAUUUUUACAAAUGUACUUUAAGAUUAAUAUGUGAUUUGAAAUACAUAUGUAGAAAAGUGAGUUCCAUCUGAAGGAUAAUCUUUUUUGAAUGCAGAUUUACUUUUGAACUAAUGCAUAAAUAUAAAUACUGUUCAUAUUUUCCUAGUUAAAAAGCAAUUCUACAUAUGUGAAACAUUUGAUAAACUCUCUUAACCUUAAAAACAAACAUCAAAUUUCAAGCUGAAUUGGAUAAGUUGAAACAUUUCUCAUAUAUUGAGUUUCAGGUGGAAAAUUGUCAUUUAUAAUGCAUGUUAAAAUUAUAUGGCUGAGCACACAAAAAUAAAUUUGACAUCAUAAGAUAUUUGUAUUUUAAGUGCAAUAUUUCUACCUGAAACCAUCAAUUACAAGAAUUAUUUGAGAUAUUUUCUGUAAUAGAUAAACCCUAUUUUUCAACUUGAAACUAUGAUUCACUUUUAAUGGUAAUUAAAAUUUUAUAUUCUAUUCUUAAAUAUUGAACAGAAUAAGUAAAAUGUAUCACACAUAUUCAAUUAAAUAAAUAAGGUACAUUGUUGAAUGGAAACAGAAUUAGUACGUAUUUCAGCAACAUAACACUGUAUAUACAUGUAAAAGAUAUCCAUUCUGAAGCUUUAGUGAAUACCAUGUAUAUCACAAUUUAAUCUGUACAUUGUUACGUUAUAAAGUGUUUUCAAAUAAACUCAUUUCAG
RNAcentral lists this long non-coding RNA (2406 nucleotides) under Mytilus galloprovincialis (Mediterranean mussel). The record is from RNAcentral. Lineage: Eukaryota; Metazoa; Mollusca; Bivalvia; Mytilida; Mytilidae.